This 220-nucleotide long non-coding RNA is filed under the name Lathyrus oleraceus (garden pea). Its description in RNAcentral is "Pisum sativum (pea) long non-coding RNA (PSAT_LNC031909)". The record is from RNAcentral. Lineage: Eukaryota; Viridiplantae; Streptophyta; Magnoliopsida; Fabales; Fabaceae.
AGCCACCUUCGCUAGUGUCUUUCAAUGGUAAAACUGAUCCACAUGAGCAUCUUAUUAGAAUCAAUAACCAAAUGACAAUAGUAGGGGCUUCUAAUUCACUCUAAUAUAAGCUCAUGACCGAUACCUUUAAAAAGAGUGCUAUGUGUUGGUUAAUGAGUUUACUCAGAUGCUCAGUUGUCAGCUACCAGGAUUUAACUAAGAAAAUGGUACAACAUUUUUC